RNAcentral lists this ribosomal RNA (465 nucleotides) under Vreelandella stevensii. RNAcentral's name for it is "partial 16S ribosomal RNA". It matches the Rfam family "Bacterial small subunit ribosomal RNA", at positions 338 to 795 of the family's 1533-position model. The record is from RNAcentral. Lineage: Bacteria; Pseudomonadati; Pseudomonadota; Gammaproteobacteria; Oceanospirillales; Halomonadaceae.
CCUACGGUAGGCAGCAGUGGGGAAUAUUGGACAAUGGGCGAAAGCCUGAUCCAGCCAUGCCGCGUGUGUGAAGAAGGCCUUCGGGUUGUAAAGCACUUUCAGUGGGGAAGAAAGCCUUGGGGCUAAUACCCUCGAGGAAGGACAUCACCCACAGAAGAAGCACCGGCUAACUCCGUGCCAGCAGCCGCGGUAAUACGGAGGGUGCGAGCGUUAAUCGGAAUUACUGGGCGUAAAGCGCGCGUAGGCGGUCUGAUAAGCCGGUUGUGAAAGCCCCGGGCUCAACCUGGGAACGGCAUCCGGAACUGUCAGGCUAGAGUGCAGGAGAGGAAGGUAGAAUUCCCGGUGUAGCGGUGAAAUGCGUAGAGAUCGGGAGGAAUACCAGUGGCGAAGGCGGCCUUCUGGACUGACACUGACGCUGAGGUGCGAAAGCGUGGGUAGCAAACAGGAUUAGAUACCCCAGUAGUC